GAUGAACGCUGGCGGCGUGCCUAAUACAUGCAAGUCGAGCGGACGGACGAGAAGCUUGCUUCUCUGAUGUUAGCGGCGGACGGGUGUGAAACACGUGGAUAACCUACCUGUCAUACUGGGAUCACUUCGGGAAACCGGAGCUAAUACCGGAUAAUAUUUUGAACCGCAUGGUUCACAAGUGAGAGACGGUCUUGCUGUCACUUAUAGAUGGAUCCGCGCUGCAUUAGCUAGUUGGUAAGGUAACGGCUUUUCAAGGCAACGAUGCAUAGCCGACCUGAGAGGGGGGUCGGCCACCCUGGAACUGAGACACGGACCAGACUCCUACGAGAGGCAGCAGAAGGGAAUCGGCCGCAAUGGGCGAAAGCCUGACGGAGCAACGCCACGUGAGUGAUAAAAGUCUUCGGAGCGUAAAACUCUGUUAUUAGGGAAAAACAGAUGUGUAAGUAACUGAGCACAUCUUGACGGUACCGAAUCAAAAAGCCACGGCUAACUACGUG
This 497-nucleotide ribosomal RNA is filed under the name uncultured bacterium. RNAcentral's name for it is "partial 16S ribosomal RNA". It matches the Rfam family "Bacterial small subunit ribosomal RNA", at positions 28 to 507 of the family's 1533-position model. The record is from RNAcentral.